AAAUUCUACUGCUAUAAUUCAAAAGAAUCAUCUGUAUGAAAGUGAUUUAACAAGUGACGUUGAUAUUACUUUAAAUUCAUCCAUUAUUAUAAAUCAGGUAGACACAGCCACAGAGAAUUUAUUGUGUGAUAGUAAUUCUACUGCAAUAGUUCAUAAGAAUCAUCUACAUGAAGGUGAUUUAACAAGAGAUAUUGAUAUUGAUUUAAAUUCAUCCAUUUCUAUAAAUCAGAUAUGCCCAGCCACAGAGAAUGUAUUGGAAGCUGAAUCUCUAGAGUAUCAUUUGCCAUCUAAUGAUGAAUUAUUCAAACUAAACAAAAAUCCUGAUAUCCUCCAAAAAUUAAUCUUCAUCAAAAAACAUCCUAUCCAGCCAUCAUUCUUCAGCAAUAUCCAACUAGAUUUAAAAAAGCUCUAUUUUAGAAAAACAUCAGAUGGCAAAAAAAGUUUCACGAAAGUGGUUAUCAGUCCUCUGUAUUGAUAAUGAACUCAAAGCUUUAUACUGUCCGUUUUGUAUUGCAUUCAGUUCAUCUCCUACUACAUUUUCUAAUGGCUGUAAUAAUUUUAAACAUAUCCAUGAAGUUGUUAAAAUACAUGAAAAAUCGUUAA
Hydra vulgaris (swiftwater hydra) is the source of this 603-nucleotide non-coding RNA. The record is from RefSeq and is a predicted model, not a curated record. Lineage: Eukaryota; Metazoa; Cnidaria; Hydrozoa; Anthoathecata; Hydridae.